GACGAACGCUGGCGGCGUGCUUAACACAUGCAAGUCGAACGGAAAGGCCCUGCUUUUGUGGGGUGCUCGAGUGGCGAACGGGUGAGUAACACGUGAGUAACCUGCCCUUGACUUUGGGAUAACUUCAGGAAACUGGGGCUAAUACCGGAUAGGAGCUCCUGCUGCAUGGUGGGGGUUGGAAAGUUUCGGCGGUUGGGGAUGUACUCGCGGCUUAUCAGCUUGUUGGUGGGGUAGUGGCUUACCAAGGCUUUGACGGGUAGCCGGCCUGAGAGGGUGACCGGACACAUUGGGACUGAGAUACGGCCCAGACUCGUACGGGAGGCAGGAGUGGGGAGUAUUGCACAAUGGGAGGAAGCCUGAUGCAGAAAAGCAGCGUGCGGGAUGACGGCAUUCGGGUUGGAAACCGCUUUCGACUGUGACGAAGCGUGAGUGACGGUAACGGGUAAAGAAGCACCGGCUAACUACGUG
RNAcentral lists this ribosomal RNA (468 nucleotides) under uncultured bacterium. Its description in RNAcentral is "partial 16S ribosomal RNA". It matches the Rfam family "Bacterial small subunit ribosomal RNA", at positions 28 to 507 of the family's 1533-position model. The record is from RNAcentral.